GACGAACGCUGGCGGCGUGCUUAACACAUGCAAGUCGUACGGUAAGGCCCUUUCGGGGGUACACGAGUGGCGAACGGGUGAGUAACACGUGAGUAACCUGCCCACGACUUUGGGAUAACGCUAGGAAACUGGUGCUAAUACUGGAUAUGUGCUCCUGCUGCAUGGUGGGGGUUGGAAAGCUCCGGCGGUUGUGGAUGGACUCGCGGCCUAUCAGCUUGUUGGUGGGGUAGUGGCCUACCAAGGCGGCGACGGGUAGCCGGCCUGAGAGGGUGACCGGCCACAUUGGGACUGAGAUACGGCCCAGACUCCUACGGGAGGCAGCAGGGGGGAAUAUUGCACAAUGGGCGCAAGCCUGAUGCAGCAACGCCGCGUGCGGGAGGACGGCCUUCGGGUUGGAAACCGCUUUCAGCAGGGACGAAGCUUUUUGUGACGGUACCUGCAGAAGAAGCACCGGCUAACUACGUG
RNAcentral lists this ribosomal RNA (465 nucleotides) under uncultured bacterium. RNAcentral's name for it is "partial 16S ribosomal RNA". It matches the Rfam family "Bacterial small subunit ribosomal RNA", at positions 28 to 507 of the family's 1533-position model. The record is from RNAcentral.